UUCAUUUUGUAAAUUCAACUCAGAUUAAAUCAAUGUUAACUUGGCCACAUGGCCGCAGUAGCCUACAGACAUACAGCAAUACAUGGAAGUGUCCCUCAGUGGACAAAGUAAUAAUAAUGAUACUUUUCAGAGGAUAAAGAAAUUAUUCUCUUAAUAUCUGGUGACUUGUGUUACUCCACCGUUUGUUUUAUGUCCGUUCUUAAGAUUGUUUGUUAGCAUUAUGCUGUUAGAAAGCUGUUUUAAAUACACAACUUUGCUUUGAUUGUUGGAAAGUGAACUUCAUCAAUGUGCAGUUCAAUGUCUCUUUUUUGAAGCAAUUUUCACUGCUGCUUGUAUUAAAGUGCUGUUGGAUUGAAUUCACUGCCACCAUACAGUGAUCAUAUGUGAAAUGUUUACUGGCAAGUCAAGGUAAAUCUUGGAAAAACAAUCUCAAGGCAUCGCCGUAGUCAUUAUAGAGUAGGUAAUUAGUGAUGUGUGACAAAACUGGCCAUAGUUGAGCCUUGGUGGCUUGAUAUUUGGCCUUGAAUAUUUCACUCAGCGCUCCACUUUUCUACACCCAAUUAGGCGGCCAAGUUGACGUACAUUUAGCAAUUGUUCAGCUGUCACUCGUGAAUCCACGCCUCGCUCAUCUAGUACCACAACCCCCACGCCAGAUUCUGGUCAAAAGUGUGCAACUUGAAAAAAAGAUUUGAACCUGGAAAAAAAACCAUCAGAAUCUCAAAAAGCAAGAUUUGAACCUGGAAAAAAACCCAUCAGAAUCUCAAAAAGCAAGAGUUGAACCUGAAAACAUAGGUGUAAAUCUAAAAAUAGAAACAUGUAACUGAAAACAAGACCUCAAAUCUUGAUAAAUCAAUAGAGGUGAAACCUGGAAAUAAACAUUUUAUUCAAAAAACAUACCAAAGCGAAGCAAAUCCAUUUUCAACUCGAAAAACAUUUUCAUAAAAAUAUUUUUAUUUUGAAUAUUUUUUUUACUUUUAAAGUUUCAAGCUCAGCACGUUUAUUUUCAGUUUUAUUUUUUCAAGUAUGAGUUUUGUUUUUUCAAGUGCAAAACGUUGACCCCAAUCUACCUCCAUAAGCAUCUGGAUGAUAACGCAGUUUUUCCGAUGGUAAGUGGACAAAACUUUUACAUGAAUUUACAUUUUUAAGUAGAAUGAAACAUAUUUCUGCAUGCGUGUUGUCUAAUUUCUUUUUCUUCAGGCGCAAAUCUUCAACUUGAGCCGAAGUUGGUCGACUUUCCGUGCGUUUUAAAGUGGAAUCGCUGAGCAUUCGCCCAAGACAUGCAAUACUUUGGAUUUAUCUCCUGUCAUCUGCCGCUUUUGUCCACUAGAUGGUGCUAAAGGACCGAGUGCAUGCUUCGAUUUUAUGAAGCAGAGUCCCUUUCUGUCAAGUUUGGAAAGCUGAUGUAAAGACAGACUUGGAAAGUCCAAAUACUGAACUGUUUCUUGUUCUAGGUGGUGCAGCGCCGCUUCUGCUGUCGGGGACUCAGCCACCACGACCCUCAACCUGCUGGACAAAGAACAAAUUCUUCAAAACAACGUAGAAGGUCUUCAGAGCUGGCUCCAUUUUUAAUGUUAGAUGUGCAAAUAAACUUACUAAAUAGCAGCUUGUUCAGGUGUGCCCAUCCCGUAGAGUCUUUUUAGGAGCUCGGCCUGCUGUUAUUCGCCGGAUGUUCAAGUGAAUCAACGACCAGUUGCUUAAAAUAAAAAUAAAGUCAACCAAAAACAAG
This is a long non-coding RNA of Syngnathus acus (greater pipefish), 1726 nucleotides long. RefSeq lists it as uncharacterized. NCBI's taxonomy places the organism in Eukaryota, Metazoa, Chordata, Actinopteri, Syngnathiformes, Syngnathidae. The transcript has 2 exons. The record is from RefSeq and is a predicted model, not a curated record.